CUCAGGGCACUAUAGUGCCAGGAAAACGAGUAUGUUUUCCUGGCACUAUAGUGGUCCUUUAAUUAUUAUUGUGAGCAAAUUUACUUAGAAAAACAGCAAAUAGUUUCCUAAUUUUCUGUCUGCACAAACUCUCAUCAUAAUAAAGGUAAACUAAAAUGAAUAGGUAGAUCAGUCAUGCGCUAAUUUCAAUUACGGCAUACUGUAUAAUCACUGUUAUGAGUACGACACAUAUAAAAAGCUUACUGCAAGCCGAUGCUGUGCUAACCUUGCCGUUACUGCAGUAUAUAUUUCAAAUUAUAAUUAAGUUUUCAGUUUGGUUUAUUACCUUUGCUUUAAUCAUAUUUUAGGGGACUUGGUUUUAGAUGGAUCUUAAUAACAAAUGAUAACAAAAAUGUUUCAUUCAUAUAACUGCUUAAAACUCUUAGAGCUAUGUUUUUCUUUAAAACAAAACCUCUGAUUGCUUCUUUCUGAAGAUAGUCUUAAAAGCACUGACUACACUUUAGCUAGGAUGAACAUACCUUGUACCUACAGUAUGUUUGCUGCAAAUACAUUACAUAAGUAAAGAUACAGAGCACACAUUUCGAGUUUUGUUGUAUUUUGUUUACUUUUGUAGUGAAUCUAUCAUAGAAAUACAUCAUAGCAGUCCUUGCAGCUGGCAGAUCCACAUCCCUUGACGUCCCAUUGUACAGCGCUAAGGAAUCUGAUGGCGCUAAAUAAAUAAUAAAAUAAUAAUAAAAAAUAAUAAUGACAUCAUCAAGUCUGCCGACUCUUUAGCUUCUUGUUCAAUCAAACGAUUCUUAUAGAGAAACAUUACUGAUGAGCAGAGCAUGCAUGGUGAGCGCCACCCUCACUUAUCAAAUGCUUCUCAUAGGGAUGCACUGAGUGAAAUACGUUCCUAUGAGAAGCACUUGAUUAAGUUUGACGUCCACAUGGUCAUUGCAGUGGAAAUGCUUCUAGUGGUUGUCAGAAAGACUAUAAUGAACUCUACAAUGAGAGCAUUGCCAUCUCUACAAAAAAACAAAACAUUGCAAACAGGGCCACUGCACCUAGACCCCUUAAUUAAGAUGAAGUUACAGUGGCCCUUUUUUCACUGUAAAUUCACUUAGAAUUCUCACUUUAAUGAAAAAGUCUGUAAGCAUUUACCUUGAAGGACUAUUAGUCUAAUACUGGGG
Non-coding RNA from Pelobates cultripes (western spadefoot toad), 1172 nucleotides. The record is from the annotation of a GenBank genome assembly. NCBI's taxonomy places the organism in Eukaryota, Metazoa, Chordata, Amphibia, Anura, Pelobatidae.